CGGGAUGAGUUUAAUGUUAAUUUGGCUAGUUUGUAGAGAUUGUCUUUAAAGUACAACACACAAAAAAUGUGGAAUGAACUGAGGAGGGUACUAAACGAAAGACGUUCUUCUUUUGUGAACACAAAGUAACAAUUCGACAAAUUUGCAUCAACUUUUACCGGUUUUGAAAUGAUACCCUUUACGCAGUCACUAAUGCACUUUUAUUGUUUGUUUAUUUUGGGAUCCUGGAGUUGAGUUCCAUGUACUUUCUAUCCUUUGUCCUUAAGUUGUUUAGUACCUGACACGGUGAAGUGUACCACGUAUUUUCUAUAUUUUGUCAUGGAGUUGUUUUGAUGCUUAUUCGGUGAAGUGUGCCACGUACUUUCUAUCCUUUGUCUUACUAACCUUUGACCCGUAAAUAUGUUACCUACACACAACACGAGAAUCUGUUACCGUUAUUUUUUUCUAUUUGUAUGUUUUAUUCAUUGAUUUAUAUCAUAAAAAAUAAUAUCUAUGUUACAUUUUGUCUUAAAUAAGAUGACAAUAGAAAUAUUCUUUUUACUUUUGUCUUUAAUAUACUAGACCCAUUGGUGGCCUUCGGCUAUUGUAUGCUCUAUGGUCGGGUUGCUGUCGCUUUGACACAUUCCCCAUUUCCAUUCUCAAUUGUAUUGCAAUAUUUUCCACUGGAUGUUAAGCAAUCGAUAUAUAAUCCACCAAUACGUCUCUUUUCGAACUCACUAUCUGUCAAUCCGUGUUUGAAGAAAAUGAAAACAAUCUAUGUAAUCAAAAUUGUAUUGUCAGUGUAAAAAGUUCUUCAAGUUCAUACAUU
RNAcentral lists this long non-coding RNA (808 nucleotides) under Mytilus galloprovincialis (Mediterranean mussel). The record is from RNAcentral. Lineage: Eukaryota; Metazoa; Mollusca; Bivalvia; Mytilida; Mytilidae.